Molecule: non-coding RNA, 23 nt
Filed under: Cricetulus griseus (Chinese hamster)
Lineage: Eukaryota; Metazoa; Chordata; Mammalia; Rodentia; Cricetidae
Source: RNAcentral
CACAAUCUGGUUGUAGGGCUGGC